RNAcentral lists this ribosomal RNA (250 nucleotides) under uncultured bacterium. RNAcentral's name for it is "partial 16S ribosomal RNA". It matches the Rfam family "Bacterial small subunit ribosomal RNA", at positions 524 to 773 of the family's 1533-position model. The record is from RNAcentral.
UACGUAGGUGGCAAGCGUUGUCCGGAUUUAUUGGGUUUAAAGGGUGCGUAGGCGGCUUUGUAAGUCAGUGGUGAAAUAUCGCAGCUUAACUGUGAGGGUGCCAUUGAUACUGCAGAGCUUGAGUACAGAUGAGGUAGGCGGAAUUGACGGUGUAGCGGUGAAAUGCUUAGAUAUCGUCAAGAACACCUAUAGCGAAGGCAGCUUACUAGGCUGUAACUGACGCUGAGGCACGAAAGUGUGGGGAUCAAAC